CCUACGGGUGGCUGCAGUGGGGAAUAUUGGACAAUGGGCGAAAGCCUGAUCCAGCCAUGCCGCGUGUGUGAAGAAGGCCUUCGGGUUGUAAAGCACUUUCAGUGGGGAAGAAAGCCUUGGGGCUAAUACCCUCGAGGAAGGACAUCACCCACAGAAGAAGCACCGGCUAACUCCGUGCCAGCAGCCGCGGUAAUACGGAGGGUGCGAGCGUUAAUCGGAAUUACUGGGCGUAAAGCGCGCGUAGGCGGUCUGAUAAGCCGGUUGUGAAAGCCCCGGGCUCAACCUGGGAACGGCAUCCGGAACUGUCAGGCUAGAGUGCAGGAGAGGAAGGUAGAAUUCCCGGUGUAGCAGUGAAAUGCGUAGAGAUCGGGAGGAAUACCAGUGGCGAAGGCGGCCUUCUGGACUGACACUGACGCUGAGGUGCGAAAGCGUGGGUAGCAAACAGGAUUAGAUAACCCAGUAGUC
RNAcentral lists this ribosomal RNA (465 nucleotides) under Vreelandella stevensii. Its description in RNAcentral is "partial 16S ribosomal RNA". It matches the Rfam family "Bacterial small subunit ribosomal RNA", at positions 338 to 795 of the family's 1533-position model. Lineage: Bacteria; Pseudomonadati; Pseudomonadota; Gammaproteobacteria; Oceanospirillales; Halomonadaceae. The record is from RNAcentral.